This 4237-nucleotide long non-coding RNA is filed under the name Equus caballus (horse). RNAcentral describes it as "lncRNA (ENSECAG00000046686.1)". Lineage: Eukaryota; Metazoa; Chordata; Mammalia; Perissodactyla; Equidae. The record is from RNAcentral.
GUCAUAAUGUGGCAGCUGCACGUUGCUGGGAUACUGAAAGCUAUGCCACUGGUAUUUCAAAAACUAGUUGGGUUCCCCAUAGUGGACAGGUUUCAGUGGAGCUUCCAGACUAAGACAGACUAGGAAGAAGGAGCUGGCCACCCAUUUCCAUGAAUCUCCAUGGAACCUUGUCUGAUACAGAGCUGAAGCAGUUCACUGUGUGCAUCCUGUAUGAUGAACCACAGCUUCCCUGCACUGUAUCACCGUCUCUGUCACCCACAGGCAUUCAGAACCUACUGAAGUGUAAAUCACUGCUUCAGAGAAGGCUGGCCACACCAGAGAACACAUUCGCAUGUUUGAACUUCUGAAGUUUCCUCUGAGGAAAGAAUUACCUCAAUAGUACCUGGCUUGAAUAUUUAUUAGGCACCAGGUACAUAACGUCCACUAAGUGUCUUCUACUGCUGUGCCUCCCGAUUCUCUGCUCAGGACCGAGUCACUCAUUAUUCUUAGUUUCUUGCAAGUCUUUGAAUUUGACCACACAAAGAUGAGUAUUUCUCUAGCAAGUUCCCCAGGUCCAAGAGAACCACUUAGCCCAAGAUCACAUCCCCUUCAUGAAGGAAGCACACACUUGUUGACUCUUCACAGCACCCCGGUAUACAGUUGCAUAUUCUUCGUUGUGGGUCCUUCUAGUUGUGGUAUGUGGGACGCUGCCUCAGCAUGGUUUGAUGAGCGGUGCCAUGUUCGCGUCUGGGAUUUGAACCAACGAAACACUGGGCCGCCUGCAGUGGAGCACGUGAACUUAACCACUCGGCAACGGGGCCAGCCCAAGAUAAAAUCUGCUUUUAAUAUUCAUUUCAAUGGUUUCUUUUUACUUUUUUUUUUUGAGGAAGAUUGGCCUUGAGCUAACGUCUGUUGUCAAUCUUCCUCUUUUUACUUGAGGAAGAUUGUUGCUGAGCUAACAUCUGUGCCAAUCUUCUUCUAUUUUAUGCAGGAUGCCACCACAGCAUGGUUUGACGAUCAGAGCUAGGUCCUGGCCUGGAUCUGAACCUGCAAACUCCUGACCGCUGAAGCUGAGUGUGGGAAGGCAAUCACCACACCAACAGGCCAGCUCCCUCUUUUUGCUUUACUUUUAAUGUGGCUACUAAAAAUGAAAUUAGAUGUAUAAGUUGCAUAUAUUUCUAUUAGAUAGUGCUGAUCUUGAUUCUUGCUACUCAGUUUGUAAUCCAUAGGCCAGCAGCAGUAACAUCACAUGGGAGACUGUUAGACAAGCAGAAUCUCAGGCUCUCGCUCAGAUCUACUAAAUACAACCUGAAUUUUGCUAAGUUCCCCAAGUGAUUUGUAUGCGCAUUACAUAUAGAGAAGUGAAGCAUGGAUCUAGAAAACUGUGUAAAGUUAGUCCUUUCAAUCUAUUCCCCUUCAGUUCUACCUUUCUCACUACUGUUUUCUUUAAAACUGUGUUCAUCCUUAUUUAAAAGCUCUAAAGGGUAUGAGUUAAUAUUUACAUAAAGUGCCAACUGCUUACUUUGCCGGGUACACAAGUGGCUCCUUGAUAUGAAUUCUCCAACCCCUCUUCUGUAUCCAAUAACUUAUACACAAUCAUUAAUGAAUUAUUUGUUGUUCUCCAAACAUAUUCUGCUAUUUUGUACUUCUCGUUUUUGCACAGGAUUUUCCUCUGCCUUGAAUAUCUUUCUUCUUCAUAUGCUAUGUGCCUGUAUGCUCUCAGAACAAUUUCAGAGAUUUUAAACUGUUAUUUGGUUUUUGAAAAAUAAUUUUCACAAGUGUGGCUGUUUUGCUGGGUUGCAGGUGGGUCCACAGAGCGCCUCACACUGCCCUUCUGGAUGUGGAUCUCCAACUCUGUAUCUACGCUCAUAAUCUUGUUCUGAUAGUUUUAAAAAGUAAAAGCGCCAUUCCUGAUGACCUGUUAAAAUCCUAUUUUUUGAAUGCUGUUGUGGAUACCUUGAACAUUUUACUGGUUUUCUCGUUAAUUAUUAACUUGAAUAAAGUCUUUGACACUAUUUUUCUCUCUAUAUAAGAGCCGCAGGAGAGAACUACACUGUGACAUUCUAAUUCCUGUUCAUCUAAACUUUCCUUGUGGAAAGUUUCCUGGUUCCCCCAUACAAAAUUAAACAUUUUGUUGCAAUUAUCACAACCAUUAUAAUUAUCCAUGGCCCUGUGUUUCUUCCAAUGCGAUGUGGUGUUAAAGACAACGCGUUAGUCACGUGCUUUAUUUACUCAUUUAAUCCAAGUUCCCCAGUUGGCUUUGUGUUUUAUCUAUAUUGCCAUAUUUGCCUUUUCUAUGAAUUGCCUAAAAAAGUUUUUAAAAGAGCUAUAAACUAACAAUGAUAGAUUCAACUGAGUUAGCACAUAUUCUCUCUGGGACGUAGUUUCUCAUUGAUAAAAUGAUGGAGGUGAGGUAGGUCAGAGGCCACAAUCUGCCCACCUCUUUCUUAGCAAAAUUUUUUUUUUAAAGAUUUUAUUUUUCCUUUUUCUCCCAAAGCCCCCCAGUACAUAGUUGUGUAUUUUUAGUUGUGGGCUCUUCUAGUUGUGGCAUGUGGGACGCCCCCUCAGCAUGGCCCAAGGAGUGGCACCAUGGCCACUCCCAGGAUUCAAAGCAGCGAAACCCUGGGCCGCCGAAGUGGAGCGUGUGAACUCAACCACUCGGCCACAGGGCUGGCCCCUCUUAGCACAAUUUUGAUAGAUUGUGUGUGUGCUUUUCUUUUAAAAAAAAUCUCCCAUUAUAUUGUCUAAACAGAGACUGCUUUUUCUCUAAGAUUGAGGAAAGAAAGAAAGAUGGAGUUGCAAAAGAAAAUAUUUCCAUUUCCAACACAUGUGUAUAUGGAACAGUUACAGGAAGGUCCCACUCUGCCUAAAGCAUUCUGUGAGGCAUUAGCCCAGCUCACCACGUGCACGGCAAACACAUGCAAGGAAAGCCAUUUUUACUGAGCAGAUCUGGUCCUGAGAAAGACAAACCCUUUUGGUUCUGUUUCAAGGCAGUUUAACCACCACGACGUAACAGCUGGAACUCCACUUUAGCCAUCUCUCACACAAGUCUUUCUGAUCGGUUAUGGAUUUUUCUCGUCAACAGCACAAACGCAGAAGGCUGACGACUGCUGGUUUCUGGCUGUCUGCUCACAAAGGCAGUUUGAUGGUGCGCUGAGCACUGGUAGAUUCCUUGUAUAUCUCCACAGCACACAUCGUAUCAGGAGAUACAUUCAGCCUGCUCUGUGCCCCCACUGCAAAAAAUUAAACUGAAUAAUCGAACAAACCACACCUUAAAUAAGAAAGAGAUUCUUUUCUAAGAUUGACAAAUUAUACUGAAAAUGUAUCAACUUUUCUCAACAAAAACUUUUUGGAAGGAUCAUUUCAAAUAUUUAAUGCUUUCUCUUUUUCCUUCAAAAUGGAAAACCCAAAUGUGAUGACUCUCCACUUACAAUGAGUUCAUUGUGCAUUUAUACAGGACACCAACCCUCAUGGCAGCCAGUGAUGUGCAUCUCUUUCCACAUUCCUGUGAAGUGACUUCUUUUUUUCUUUUUAAAGAUUGGCACCUGAGCUAACAACUGUUGCCAAUCUUCUUCUUUUUUUUCUUUCUUUCUGCCUUUUCUCCCCAAAUCCCCCCAGUACAUAGUUGUAUAUUUUAGUUGUGGGUUCUUCUAGUUGUGGCACGUGGGACGCCACCUCAGCGUGGCCUGAUGAGCGGUGCCAUGUCCGCACCCAGGAUCCGACCCGGCGAAACCCUGGGCUGCUGCAUCAGAGCGCGGGAACUCAACCACUCGGCCACGGGGCUGGCCCCAAGUGACUUCUCAUUGGUAGCUUGAGAGCAACAAACCAAACAAAUCAGGAUUUUCCCUCCAUCUGAGAGUUAGUUAUUAAAUAUUGACCAGCACACUUCUGAUUUUCAAUUUCCUUCCGUCUGAUCGUUCUGGGAUACGGCAAAGCUGAGCAUCAGAACUUGCAUCCUAGUAGAAGCACCAGGCAAAGAUACAGCAGAGCCACCUGGGUGCUGGUUGUUCAUCCUUUCCCUAGGCAAGAUUCUGACUUCUUAAAAUCCUUAUUUUUAAACUGCAACAAGAAUAUAUACAUUUUAAGUGGCAUUUUAUAAAGGAAAGGGACAAAAUUGUAAGAUAGCUAUUAUCUAAAUGACUAAAUAUGAUAAUGUCAACUUUUAUGGGCUUUACCAGUGAGGGAGCUUGUACGCUAUGAGACAGAGGCCUUGAGUGAAGAUUAGAGACCCUCUGCUCACUAAUGUGAUGUAAGGGAG